UUAGAGGCGUGGAGUGGGGGAGCACGAGUUCUGGAAGAUGCGCUGCUCUGUGUUUCUUUUGUUAUUAUCUUACUCUGGUUAGUAUCGCUUUUUACCUGCCACUUCCGCAAAAGCUGGUCAGCCAAGAGAGUGGCGGCAUCACGUAAUGAUACAUUUUCUCAUUAUUUCAUUUAUGACUGAGGCUAUCCAUGGAGGGGGGAUUAGAGUCUCCGGGUCACCCCCGUAAUGGAAGCCCUCAGACUGGGGCCGUCAGGUGGUCAGCUCUCCUCCCUGGUGGUGGCUGUGGUGAUCAGCAGUGGUCAGUGCAGGCGACGGGUUGGAGGGUCCGGUGCAGUGGUCAGUGCAGGCGACGGGUUGGAGGGUCCGGUGCAGUGGUCACUGCAGGCGACGGGUUGGAAGGUCCGGUGCAGUGGUCAGCACUGGGGCCAUCCAUCCCAAGGGGGAGAUGGAGAUGUAGACUGAUGAUCCGCGUGCAUGUCGACGCUCAGAGGACAAAGAGGCGAGACUGUCUGCCUGGCUGGGGGGCUUUCCUCUGCCAGCACAAAGGCUAGUUAGCGCAGAGCAGAGAGUGCUUGCUCGCCUGUCUGAGGCUGGCUCUGCCCUGCGACUUGGAAAAUGUAACUCUGAUCGUCUCCAGCAAACCUUAUUCCUCUCUUUUCCUCUCUUUGACCUCUCUCAUAUCUCCUUCUUCAUCUUUGUCUCUGCUAUUAUUAGCGCGUUACAGUUUAUUGUGUUUGUGGCGUUUGUGUGUUCUGAUACAUCUGUCUAUGCCUUUCUUUGUGUGCGGAGCAUUCAGCUUAUCUUUUACUCGAGCUCUCUGAAAUGAAGGAAUAAGUUAUCUGCAGUGAAGGAGGGGAAAAAUGGGGACUUUUUUUCUUCCACAGCAGGCGACUGUUGUUUGACGAAGCCUUUCAGCACAUUACCUAAGUGGUCAGACCGGACAGGACACUGGCCAGACAGACACGUGGAGGUGGUUUUGGGGCAGGAGGGAGGCACCAAGGGGUGGUGGUAGUGAGAGAAGGGUGCCAUGCUGCUCACACCCCUGUCCGACUGACUGUGUGCGGCUCCUCAGUGCCAGAACCCUGUUGUACUUCUCCUGCUCCCUGAGACCCUAACUUGUGAGCUCUCUUCAUGAAAAAUCACGGGUUAGGCUCUUGGGACGCUGGCGGAGGGCACGAGCGACUACAGUAGCAACCCAAUGUGCCUGCCAAGGGUGGAGUCGGGAUGGAACAGCUGCUGACAUCAAUGUUACACACAUCAGGAUGUAUGGGGAAAGGGAGGAAGGGGAAGACAGAGAGAGAAAAGGGGGAUGAGGAAGGGGGACCGAAACAGAUCAUUGGUGGUAGUGAAAUUAAAACGUAGGUUUCUUUCUUGAUGAGCAUUACCAACGACUUAGCCCUCGCUCACAUCCCUAUGUGUACAAUGUAUGAUCGCCCUUACAGUGGGUCCUCACUUAGUAGUUACGUCAUACACUGCGGUAUGCCACGGUACGGUACUGCACGUUAUAGUGCGUGACGUCAUAGUAUUUUGUUGUCAGCCACUGUUGCCGUUAAUGCUUGUGCGAACCAUCAGAGGGCAUCUUUGAGCACAUCUACUCCAGCCUGGCGGGCCUACAGUAAGACUACAAAAUAAAACCAUGUUGACGACAGUUUUAUGAGUUUAACCUUCUGAAUUAUUACAUUGAAGAAAGAUUUUUGUCUUUGUUUUCCGUUUGUCUACUGUAAUGUAGCCUAUAUUUUUUUUAUCUUAAAUGAUUGUCAGGGGCUCCCCUUUCAUCGAACAUAAUGUGUCAAAAUAAAUUAUAAUUUUGUGACAAAACUGCAUAAUGGUAUUUGCUUUAUGAAAACUAGCCACUGCAAAUGACGCAUAGUAAAAUAGGCUACUUGUUACGGGAGAGGAGGAUGCUGCAGCGGGAAAGAGUGAUAGCCCCUCAUCUAUAUAAAGUGAGUUUCUGAAACACAGAGUCAUUCUUUGCUGAUGCGAAGAAGAAACUGAAUGAAAGAGAGUACAGGGAGGAAAAAACUACAGGCAAGUCAUCUGUAUGGGCCUCAUUUACGCACAUGGUGGAUACGGAGGGGAAAAAGGUUGCCCAUAUUUUCAAGAGCUAUUCAAUAUAUUUGUUUUAUUUAUGAAAUGACUAGUUUAUUUAGGCAAUAAAUGUCUUGGUACUUUGUAAAGUUCAUGGCGUCAUUAACCUUAACAAGGGCCGAGGACCAGUGGAAGCAAGAUAGUCCUAUAACAUCAAAGAUCCACCACCAUAUUUGACUGUAGGUGUAUGAAGAACUUUUCUGCAUAUGCUUCGUUUUUCGAUGCCAAAGAUCUUGGCCAUGUCAGAUGACAUGAAAAUAGAACCCUUGGCCACGCACACCAGUGGUGGGUUUGGUGUCGAAAAUCGGAAGAAUAUGCAGAAAAGUACCUCAUACAUACAGUAAAAUAUAGUGGUGCAUCUUUGUUAUGGGGCUAUUUUGCUUCCACUGGUCCUGUUGGCCCUAGUUAAGGUCAAUGGCAUCAUGAACUUUACCAAGUACAAGGACAUUUUAGCCAAAAACCUGGUUGCCUCCGACAGAUAUUCCAGCAAGACAAAAACCCCAAGCACACAUCAAAAUUCACAAAGAAAUGGUUAAUUGACCACAAAAUCCAAAUGUUCAGUCUCUGGACUUGAACCCCAUUGAAAACCUGUGGUGUGAAAUGAAGAGGGCAGUCCAUAAGGGUAGAUGAAGGAUAUCAAGGAUCUGGAAAGAUGAUGAUCUAAGAUCCCUCCUGAUGUGUUCCCCAAACUCAUAGCAUUUAAAAAAAAAGUUUGUGUUGUUAUCUUUUUGACAUGUAUUUUAUUAUUUGUUGUAUUAGUAUAAAAAUGAUAUCAUUUCACUUUUUUUGUAUGCAUUAUAGCUCAGUAUUUGUAUUAUUUAUUUUAUACAGUAUUUUUUGCUCAUCUUUAUCAAUUGUGCCAAUAAUUAUGGACCUGACUAUAUAGCAGACAGAUAUUUCUUCAACUUCAUCUUUCAAUGCUGUAUGAAGUCAUCUGAAAGCAUGCUUUAAUUUGACCAUCCCUGUAACUACUUUAUGAUUUGAAACUGAAUUGAUAGAAAUAAGUUCCCCUGAAGACUCAAAUACAUGUUAAGAACCACAACCCAGCAAACCUGAAGUUAGGAAUAACAAUACUCUUCAAUUACUAUGCAAUUGGAAACAUUUUCUUUCAUCAAUGUUAACUGUAUGAGACAGAGCAUUUUUUUUUUUAAAUAAACAGUUUUUAUGAAUUACUGUGAUGGCACUGUAAAUUAUACACUAUAUGGAAUUGUAAUAGACGUUUGUUCAGCACAUAACAUUGUUUAUCCAUGUAAACAGUUUACCAUAAUGUUUUCUAAAUUGUUUUUAUUUAUUUACCAACAUUAUACAUAAAGAUCUACAAGAUGAUUAUGGAAACUAGGUGAUGUUCAAGCAGUUUACCUAUAUAUUAUAAUAAAAAAUACAAAAAUAAGUAUUUUGCAUUGCAUAGUUGAUGAAUUUCUAGCCCUCACUUAUUUCAGUCAUGUUUCAUUCAUGUGUAAAGGCUUUUUAAAAACCUUAUUCCAUGUCAAAUGACCGACUUCCUUGAAAUGAAGGAAAGGCCCUCAGGAAUUCAUCUUAAUUUAGGGAGAUGGAGAAGAUUUCAGAUAGGAUGUCAAAUGAAAACACAUUGUUUGUCGCUAUACAAAAUCAAAUCAUUUUUGACCAAGACAAUCCAAUUACAAACUCCCCCUGUCCUUAACACUGAUCUCACUGUUAAAGAGGUGUAAAUUAAUUCACCCUAACAGCUGACCUCAUUUUUUAACUUUCUGCUUUUCCCGAGGCAGCUUGCUUUUAUAAAAAAACACAUUUCUGCUAAAUUACCCACAUUAGAAAUGCAGUUUCAAAACAAUUGAUUUUCUCUCUAUGCCCGCUCUCUCUCUCUCUCUCUCUCUCCUUUCUCUCUCCCUCACACACACACUCACUAAUUAUGUUUUUUCCCUAUCUACUCCCUGUUUGGUGUUCAUAGUGAACAGUGCUGAUGCCAACUAAUCAGUCUGUGUCUGUGCCACAGAGCCCCCAGCAACAGCUAAAGGAGUGAGUGCCAUGCCCCAUGAAUACCAAGCAGUCAGACACGACGCAGCGAGUGCAGAGCUGGUGCCCACAAAACAGUUAGACAGUUUUAUUAGGAUGUGUCUGACACGUGGCAAAGCCUGGCAGGCACGGAGGCAGCUAGCACUCAUCGGAAACCCACUGAUGAAAUCUUCAACUCAGCGCUAGGCUGCUAGCUCCCACAACACUAACAAAGCAGGCUGGCUGCCCUGCUCUUCUCAACCCAUAUUCUCAUCUGAAGGAGUCAAUACAUAAAUAUAUUACACAGUGAAAUCAUCUCAGCAACCCUCAGGACUUUAGCAUUUAACACUGUUCAAUAGGGAACAGCCUAGCCCUAGAAAACUUUUGUGAAAUGUCAAGUUAUUUUACAAUUAGAAACUGGUGCAAAUUAGAUGGAUUUAUUUAGCAUUGAAAUGCAGUACAGUAGCCUCAAAGGCUAAAAUACUGUACUACAGCAUGAAGAGAAUCCAAAAAUAGAGUAAAAUAAAAUUCUGGAUACGACUUUUGGUCAUCUCCAGGCUACAAGUUGCAAAUUAUAUCUUUGGUCUUCCUCUAUUGUCUUCCUCUGUUUAGUGGAUUCUACAACAUCAAAUGAGAACGAGGGAUAAAGAUAGAAUUUAAGACAGACACAUUGAAAUAAAUUAAUAGCUCAAACAUUGCAGGUUUUUGAGAUGUAGUGUAAAAUCCCUGUAAAUUUAGACAAUUCACAAUUCAAACAAUGAACUCUCCCUCCCUCGUCUCAUUUUGAUAUGUUGACGGUUGAUGACCUCUGAUGGAGAAGUGUGUGUUUACUCUGCAAAAAGAAAAUGAACAAAGAAAACAUUGAAAAUGAGCAGGGGAAAACUAUCAGUGCUGACAAAUAAGAAACCACCUCACACCUUAUGGCACUUUAUGUGUAUCAUUAGACAUCAGCAAUUUGUUUCCCAAUUGUUUAUAUUAUUUAUGUAAAAAAAAAAGAAGAGGUAUGCUAAUUCAUUCCUUUGAAGCAAAUAUAGACAGAAGGUACAGUAGGACAGAACUCUUGUCCGAAGCUGGUUUUGACUUUAUGUAAUGAGAUAUCUUGAACCACUGUGGAGGUGGGUCCUCAAGUUAAAGAGGUAAAAUACUGUCUUAUAAUUUCUCCCAUUGAUCAUCAGCAACAGCAGUUCUACAUUGUGUUAUGUCAUGUAUCAAAAUCCCCUCUUACCAUUUUGCCAUAUAGAGCAGUGGUUUCCAACCAGGGGUACUAAGACUUAGUAUCAGGUUUCAGGUAAGACCCAAGUGCAGACUGUGUUGAAGUAACAAUGUUUAUUGCAACAGGGGCAGGCAAACGACAGGUCAAGGCAGGCAGGGGUCGAUAAUCCAGAGUAGUGGGGCCAAGGUACAGGACGGCAGGCAGGCCCAGGGUCAGGUGAGGCAGAGGUCGGUAAUCCAGAGUAAGGGCAAAGGCACAGGGCAGCCUCAGCGUCAGGCCAGGACAGGCCAGGCAAGGGUCAAAACCAGGAUGCAAAAAAGAGCAACUGGAGAAAAGCAGGUGCUGAUACAAACCACUGGUUGACUUGAACAAACAAGACAAACUGGCCCAGACAGACAGAAAACACAGUUAUAAAUACCCAGGGGAUAAUUGGGGAAGAUGGACGACACCUGGAGGGGGGUAGAGACAAGCACAAGGACAGGUGAAACAGAUCAGGGCGUGACAGUUAGGUAAUCCCUAGUUACCACAAUCACAGACACAGUCAUACAUAUGACUAAAUCCUGCCUAUUUCUACAAUUGAUCUUCUUAAAAUCUGAUGUUAAACCUAACCCUAACCACACCUUAUGCCUAACAUUAACCUUAAAUUAAGAAAUCAUGCAUUUCUUUUGUAGAUAUUGUCAAUUUUGACUAUGUGGCUGUGGUAACUAGUGACAACCGAAGACUCAUGACACCAUAGGCUUACUGGUAAAAUGCUCAUGAGGGGGUACUUCAGGGGUACUCCGGGCAGAGCAAAAUUCAGUUGGUGGUACAGUAACCGAAAAAGGUUGGGAACCACUGCUUUAGACUAAUUAAACCAUAUAAAUCUCUAGUAAUAUGGAUAGCAAUUGGACAUAUUAGGAUACAUAUUAGUGCAUUCAGACAUUUAGGAAGAGGCCUGGAUAGUGUAGUUUAACAAAAAGGAGAUCAAAUAUGCCUCUGACACAAUAAAUGUAUUCAGUGAAACUCCAACCAUCUAUCCAUUUCUAUUUCCGUUUAACAACCAGUGUGACAUUUUGUACAGCAUUCAAAUUCUCUGGCUCAGCAAAAAUGUGUGAUAUACUGCGAACUACAUUCAUCAAGGCAUUUGUUACAUAAAUAUCUUUCAAUAUGUAGUUCCAUGGUCUCUGUUAGUCAUCAGUUUCUUGCAGCAGAAAAGAUUGAUUCCAUCCCUGACCAGCCGUGGAUAAACCCUGGUUCCAGAUUAUUCUAAAUUAAAGAGUGUUCGCCGACAGACCAAGGGUGUGUGAAGAAAAAGAUUGCAUUCUAUUCUAAAGAGGGCACAUUUUGAUUGGACAGAGUUGACACAGAAAUCAGAUGGAUUAAAAGGAAUUAUCGUCUUGUUUUCUACCCUUGAUUGUCAGGCAUUGUGGAGCUGCAGCCCAGCGGAUCUCUUAUCUCAGGUAGAUGGGGGGGAACAGCAGGUGUGUAUGAUUGCAUGGUGAGUAGGGGGGGUGGAGGGGACGGACCACUGAGGCACGGGGUGUGGCGGGGGAGGGGGGGGGGGCACUAUGUCUGAGUUUCCAGACACUGCGGCAGGAAGCCAGCCAGUCACCUGAACACACAAAUGACGCUUCCCCGCACACACCCCGGUAUUCGUCCCCAUGAAAGCAAAUGUAAUAUUCUGUUAUAAUCCAUUUGGGGGGGGGGAUGUAGUGCUAAAGACAAUAUACCAUUUAGCACUUUAGACAAUAUAACCAUAAUCAACGGCACAAAAACACAAAGGGCCAAGUUAUGCUCAGGCCAGCGGUGGCCAGGAAUAAAGUUAAUUACAGUAAGUUGAACAUUGGUGUGUGAACACACUAUCGAAUGGACAGUAUCUACCUCUGGCUGCACUGAGACAUCGUUUUAACCAAAGGCAUAGGGAUGGAGUAUAGAGACACUGAUGUCUAGACAGUGGUAUUGGAUAUAUGGUUAUUGUUCACUAACAGACCUUAGCAUGUCCACUGGCACUUUAAGUUUGCCUGAGUGUGUGUCUGUGUGUGCAUGUGUGAGUGCAUGUCUAUGUGCAUGUGUUAUGUGUGCAUUCUAUCUAUGUAAGUACGGCCCAUGAUGGUGUUCUAGCUGGGUACCCCCCCAUUCCCUCCCUCCUCCCCACAUCCACGGUUGCCUCCCUGCCUCUCACUUCGUCAGAGGUGUUGCCACGGAAACGCGGUAUCUUGCUGCAGGCUUGCUGGAGUUAUUGAACCGCAACUGGCUGGGAUAAUUAGACUCUGGGACUUGAAUGUGACCUACAGCUGGCUUGGCUGUGUCGCCACAGAGAAAUGCUUUUAACCCGUUGGUUAGUUGGCCACCAGACACUUGGGCCAAUGAAUGUACCUUUUACACGGCAAGGACGUGGUCAAUAAAGAGACUGUAGACUUUGGGACUCUGGGACUACAGUAUCUCUGUAGUCCCAGAGAUACUGCACACAGACCUGCACAAACACACAUUCAUACACACACACACACUCAAAUCCUGCAUUCUGGCUUCCUUUGUGUCACUACAAAGAAAUCAUGACAGAGGAAGUUCCUUGUGUUUUCUCGAGUGCACUGCACUGCCCAACCCAUGCAUAGUUGGUCACAUGGACACACAAUCUGUUUACUCAUAUUUCACAGCAGGGGCGGCAGGUAGCCUAGUGGUUAGUGGUUAGAGUGUUCAACUAGUAACCGAAAUGUUGCAAGAUCGAAUCCUUUAGCUGACAAGGUAAAAAUGUGUCAUUCUGCCUCUGAACAAGGCAGUUAACCCAUUGUUCCUAGGCCGUCAUUGAAAAUAAGAAUUUGUUUUAACUGACUUUCCUAGUUAAAUAAAUAAAGGUAAAAUACAUAAACUUAAAAUAAACUCAUAUUUCACACACUGAAUGGUUAUGAUGUGAAUUACUCUGCCUGAAUGUUUGUGUGACUCAGAUAUGUGAAUCCAAAUGACUUUUUUCCCCGGAAUGGUCCUGAAAUGUUCGUCCUCCAGUCAUUGUUAACAUCCUUUUUUCCUGGUUUUCCUCCUCCCACUAAUUGCUGUCAUUAUCCUUUCUUGUUUAGGUACUGUGGAGUCCCCCCCCCCCCCCCCCCCUUCUCUCUCAGUGUAUGCUCACUCACAGGACGAAGAGAAGUAGGUAGUCGAGGAGUAAGGGACGGGGUGGCUGAAGGGCGGCGUUCCUCAGACGGAGCAGAGCAGAACGCUCUCUCCUCCUCUCCCCUUGUCAUUGGUAUGCAGUGGCUGUUCCCCAGGCGACAGGGCCACUGGGUUCGGGCUGAGCUUACUGCAAGAGGAACGUCAGCGACACAGAGGAGAGGAGGACAGCAGGUAAGGGUAAUGAGAACAGGCAUAGAAAGGAAAGGAGGAAAGAGAGAAGGAGGGAAGAAGAGGACAAGCGAAAGGAGGGCAAGAUGUCCCAAGGGGCUUUGGGGGUGAGGCACCCCCUGACCCUUCGCACUCCGUACACUGUCCAGACACUAACACACACACACACACACACACACACACACACACACACACACACACACACACACACACACACACACACACACACACACACACACACACACACACACACACACACACACACAC
Oncorhynchus mykiss (rainbow trout) is the source of this 8851-nucleotide non-coding RNA. The record is from RefSeq and is a predicted model, not a curated record. Lineage: Eukaryota; Metazoa; Chordata; Actinopteri; Salmoniformes; Salmonidae.